This 460-nucleotide ribosomal RNA is filed under the name uncultured bacterium. RNAcentral describes it as "partial 16S ribosomal RNA". It matches the Rfam family "Bacterial small subunit ribosomal RNA", at positions 338 to 795 of the family's 1533-position model. The record is from RNAcentral.
CCUACGGGAGGCUGCAGUGAGGAAUAUUGGUCAAUGGGCGAGAGCCUGAACCAGCCAAGCAGCGUGAAGGAUGACUGCCCUACGGGUUGUAAACUUCUUUUAUAGAGGAAUAAAGUGAGGCACGUGUGCCUUUUUGUAUGUACUUUAUGAAUAAGGAUCGGCUAACUCCGUGCCAGCAGCCGCGGUAAUACGGAGGAUGCGAGCGUUAUCCGGAUUUAUUGGGUUUAAAGGGAGCGUAGAUGGGUUGUUAAGUCAGUUGUGAAAGUCUGGGGCUCAACCGUAAAAUUGCAUUUGAUACUGGCAGUCUUGAGUACAGUUGAGGCAGGCGGAAUUCGUGGUGUAGCGGUGAAAUGCUUAGAUAUCACGAAGAACCCCGAUUGCGAAGGCAGCUUGCUGAACUGCCACUGACAUUGAGGCUCGAAAGUGUGGGUAUCAAACAGGAUUAGAUACCCCUGUAGUC